CGGAUUAACUCAUAUGUACAGAAUAUUGCUUUAAAUUUCGAAUCUACAAUGGCGGGAUGACCUUCAACAGUCGAGAUUGUGGUAUAUGCGCAAAAUGAGUGAUUCACACCUGUGGACACACUUGCAGGCCACUGGAUGCUGACUACUGAAGGUUAGGUUGUGUGUGACGGUGCUCAGCACAGCUUCAUGUCUGGCCUUCCCACUCUGUUCAUAGCAUGUUACAUAUUCAAUCUUGAGUACCAGGAUGGGGCAGCGUGUAUCUUGGAGUCCAAUGAAAGAUAUUAAUCCAGAGAGUGGAACAAGAAGAAGCCUCAUCUAAAAUGCCAGGAUACAGAAGAAACAGUUGCAGUGAACCCACAUGUUGCCGCUCUUCUAAACACAAUGAUGAAUUUUCAGUAGAAGCACACACACACACAGAUCUCAUCAUUGAAUUACAUCAUUUUAAUAUUCACUGUCUCUGACUGUAUAUGUUGUCCUCUGUUUUUCCUCUGACUAUAAAUAUCUAACAUUAUUCUCUCUCUCUUUCUUUUCCAUAGUUCUAGCUACUUGUUGUGCUCUGAUGGAUCAAGAUGUGGACCGUUUUACAGACUCACUUGGGCCUUGUUUUGCGAUGUUGUUACAUGAUGGUUAUGUUGGUUAACGUGU
Triplophysa dalaica is the source of this 645-nucleotide long non-coding RNA. RefSeq lists it as uncharacterized. Lineage: Eukaryota; Metazoa; Chordata; Actinopteri; Cypriniformes; Nemacheilidae. The record is from RefSeq and is a predicted model, not a curated record. The transcript is spliced from 3 exons.